RNA transcript from Hypanus sabinus (Atlantic stingray), 3629 nucleotides. It is a transcript of the gene named lipoprotein lipase-like, with no coding region annotated. The transcript has 11 exons. The record is from RefSeq and is a predicted model, not a curated record. NCBI's taxonomy places the organism in Eukaryota, Metazoa, Chordata, Chondrichthyes, Myliobatiformes, Dasyatidae.
GUGGGUGAGUUUUAGCCCGUCUCAGUCGGUAUGAAUGGUGACAUAGGAUGGGAUCUGUUUGGAUAGCGGCGAGGGGUUGUUAGCGUGAGAAAUGGCGACGGCAUUGAGUGGGUAAGAAUUGUUUGUGGGUGACAAAGGAGUUUUGAGCUCCUUGAGUUAAGUCUAAGUUGGAGUGGGUUAACGUGGCCUGUGUGUGGAGCACGUCUACGGAUUUACAAUUGAGCAGCGCAGUCGGUUGGAAGCGUGCGGUUGCCGAGAGACGAGCCCCGGUCUCACCAAUCAGGCUGCUCUCCGGUUGAUUAAAGGCUGAGUGGUGUGUAUUGAGUGUCAGAUCCCGGCGGUAGCCCCGCCUUCACUCUCACUCAUCCGGAGGCAGACCUUGUCCCCAGCCCGGGACUCACCAUGCGCUGCUCGUCUCUCCCACUGCCCCUGCUUCUGCUCCUUGGUUCUACACUCCGGCCAAGCUUUGCGGAGAACGUGAAGACAGGAGACGCAACAGCAGGUGCCCUUGAGCUACAGACCAAUGAUAUUGAAGAUCUGAACCACAUUAAAACCCGUUUUUUGCUGCGAAGACCUUCAGCACCCUCUGAGGAUGACUGUUAUAUCAUUGCGGGCCACACCGACUCCCUGGCCAAUUGCAAUUUCAACGCCAGUAGCAAGACUUUCUUCAUUAUCCAUGGAUGGAGUGUGACUGGGAUGUUUGAGACCUGGAUUGAAAAGCUGGUGGCGGCUCUAUACCAAAGGGAGCCUGACUCUAAUGUCCUUGUCGUGGAUUGGCUCAAUCGUGCUCACCAGCACUAUCCAAUUGCAGCCCAGAAUACUCAACUGGUUGGACAAGACAUUGCCAAGCUCAUCAACUGGUUGGAGAAACAAGUGAGAGCUCCAACUAGCAAGAUGCACCUAGUCGGCUACAGCCUAGGUGCGCAUGUGGCGGGUUUUGCAGGGAGUCACAUAGGCCACAAAAUUGGCAGGAUUACAGGGCUGGAUCCAGCAGGGCCGGUGUUCGAGGGGGUCCACGCUGAGGAGCGGCUGUCCCCGGAUGACGCCACUUUUGUUGAUGUCCUCCACACCUUCACGAGGCAGUCUCUGGGGCUGAGUAUUGGGAUCCGACAGCCCGUGGGACACGUUGACAUCUAUCCAAAUGGAGGCCACUCUCAACCGGGCUGUGACCUACAGCGGGCCGUGAACAACAUUGCCAUGUAUGGUAUUUAUGCAUUCUCGGAAGCUGUGAAGUGUGAGCACGAGCGAUCCAUCCACCUCUUCAUUGACUCCUUGCUGCACAGUGAUCAGCCGUGCAUGGCAUUUCGCUGCAGCAACCACCACUCCUUCGAGAAAGGCAUGUGUCUGAACUGCCGCAAGAAUCGAUGCAACACGCUAGGCUAUGGCGUGACACGGAUCCGCAAUAAGAGGGCCAGCAAGAUGUACCUGAGGACCAGGGCUGAGAUGCCUUUCCGAGUUUAUCACUAUCAACUGAAGAUUCACUUCUCUAGCAGGAUUACCCACUUCGACAUCGAUCCCACACUGUCUGUAUCUCUUCAUGGGACCAAGGGCGAUACUGAGAAUCUUCACAUUGAAACAGUGGAGAGGUUUUCACCCAACAAGACCCAUUCGUUCCUGGUGAUUACCGAGGUGGACAUUGGAGACCUGCUGUUGAUAAAGUUCAGGUGGGAAUCAUCCCUAACCUGGAAUUCCCUGUGGAAAACAAUGAAGAAUUCCAUUUACUGGUACAAGCUUCCACUCUGGAGCACCUCGAUCCAUUCUGAUUCCAACUUUCAGAUCCACAGGAUCCGUGUGAAGUCUGGAGAAACACAGAAAAAGAAGGUCUACUGUUUGAAGGAUUCCUCUGCCAGGAUUGCCCCCUCUCAGGAAGUCAUUUUUGUGAGCUGUCCAGUCGUUCUGGAGUCAGUGCCACAAACAAGUGCCCAUGGUCAGAAGCACUGAGAGACGUAGCUGGGCGGAUCGACCAGACUAAACCUGCACUACUGGAAUCAGCAUCGACAAGCGGCAGCUGUUCACACAAUAAUCCACCCUUCUUGUUUACUUUUUGUGAUGGGAGAUUGAAAAUCUGGCUGAAGGGUAGCUCAACAUCAUCGGUCAACGUUAGCAAAACCAAAGAGCAGAUUGUCAACUUCAGGAAGAAGAAUACCGAAGUCCAUGAACCAGCCCUCAUCAUCAUUCCUAUAUUUUGAUAAUAAAUUUACUUUGAUCUUUUUGAACUCUUACCUUUCUCUUCUCUUCAUCAUCUCCCUUUGAUUCCCCUCCUCCAUGAAGCUUCUGAAACUCUACUCUUGCCUUGGUGAGUGCAGCUCCUGUAACUCUCCAGAAGUUCAGUACCCUGACCAUCCCUGACAAGAUAUCCUGUUUGACUGGCACCACAUUAAACAUCUUUACCAUUCCAUCACUGUCCGACAGUGACUGCUAGUGAACACCACUUAAAGAAUUAACUGGAGUUACUUACUCUGACCACUCUGUGGUAACUCCCAAGUUAGUGAUUUAUACUACAAACAAAGUCAAGGGCAACUGAAACUUGGGAACACCUUGCCUGCAGGUUCCCUCCAUACUUCAUGCUAACCAGACCUGGGCAUAAAUCACUAGUCCUCCCUCACAGUUGGUUUAACUCCCAAAGCUUUGCACCUGGCAGUGGGAACUGCUUCACCAGAAGGACAGCAGUAUUUUAAGAAUGUAACUCACCAUCAUCUUCAUGGGCAGUUGAGAUGAAUAAUAAAUACUGAACCGAAGGAGGAGAGGCACUGAAAGUGGUAAAUCCAACUCUCUCCACACUGGCAAACUCAGCCUUCUCAGUCGCCAGUUUUUCUGGGUUUAGUCUAUACAUGUGGGCAUGGACUGGUGGGCCAGUGGUAGAAAUGUGGUGCUUGAUCCCAUGUUUUGUAAUGUAGUAGAGAAUGUGGGCUUGGCGAGGUUUGGGAAUUCAUCCAGAAGUCGAGUAAACUCACAUGUAGUGGUGCAUACACUUGAGAGUUGUUGUGGGGAACUUACUGAGGGAGCAAGGUAAUGACACAAAGUCCUUGAUAUCCACAAGCCAGCAGUUCUCAAGAUCAACAAAUAGUCUUUAGGCACAGAGGAAAUCUGCAUCGAGCAGAGGUCUAGCCACUUCAGCCAGAAUGAAGUCCCAUGUGUAGCGCCACCCACUGAAGCAGAGCAUCACCCGCCUCUCAUAAGUCUGGAUCCUGCUGCUGUUGGUGGCCUCCAGGAAGGUUUCACCGUAUUUGCCUUCCUAUCAAAAGGUGAAGGGGGUAGCUAAUAGGAGAAGACAGAAGGCCAUAGAAGAAAGAAAAAGGGAGAGGAGCACUGGAGGGAGGCGAUGGGCAGGCAAGGAGAUAAGGUGAGAGAGAGAAAAGAGUAAGUGGGGGAGGGUGCAUUACUGGAAGUUUGGGAAAUCGAUGUUCAUGCCAGCAGGUUGGAAGCUACCCAGAAGGAAAAUAAGGUGUUGCUUCAAACCUAGUGUGGCCUCAUUGCAACAGGAGAGGAGGCCAUGGAUGGACAUAUGGGAAUGGGAAGUGGAAUUAAAAUGGGUGGCCACUGGGAGUUCCCGCUUUUUCUGGCAAAGCGAUCUCCCAAUCUGUAUCAAGUCUCACCGAUAUAUAAGAGGACACACCGGAAGCUCAUGA